Molecule: ribosomal RNA, 1468 nt
Filed under: Listeria monocytogenes
Lineage: Bacteria; Bacillati; Bacillota; Bacilli; Caryophanales; Listeriaceae
Description: partial 23S ribosomal RNA
Rfam family: Bacterial large subunit ribosomal RNA
Source: RNAcentral
GGUUAAGUUAGAAAGGGCGCACGGUGGAUGCCUUGGCACUAGGAGCCGAAGAAGGACGGGACUAACACCGAUAUGCUUUGGGGAGCUGUACGUAAGCGUUGAUCCAGAGAUUUCCGAAUGGGGGAACCCACUAUCUUUAGUCGGAUAGUAUCCUUACGUGAAUACAUAGCGUGAGGAAGGCAGACCCAGGGAACUGAAACAUCUAAGUACCUGGAGGAAGAGAAAGAAAAAUCGAUUUCCUGAGUAGCGGCGAGCGAAACGGAAAGAGCCCAAACCAAGAAGCUUGCUUCUUGGGGUUGUAGGACACUCUAUACGGAGUUACAAAAGAAAGUUAUAAAUGAAGCGGUCUGGAAAGGCCCGCCAAAGACGGUAACAGCCCGGUAGUUGAAAUGGCUUUCCCUCCAGAGUGGAUCCUGAGUACGGCGGAACACGUGAAAUUCCGUCGGAAUCCGGGAGGACCAUCUCCCAAGGCUAAAUACUCCCUAGUGACCGAUAGUGAACCAGUACCGUGAGGGAAAGGUGAAAAGCACCCCGGAAGGGGAGUGAAACAGUUCCUGAAACCGUGUGCCUACAAGUAGUUAGAGCCCGUUAAUGGGUGAUAGCGUGCCUUUUGUAGAAUGAACCGGCGAGUUACGAUUUGUUGCAAGGUUAAGCGGAAAAAGCGGAGCCGUAGCGAAAGCGAGUCUGAAUAGGGCGCAUAAGUAACAGGUCGUAGACCCGAAACCAGGUGAUCUACCCAUGUCCAGGAUGAAGGUAAGGUAAUACUUACUGGAGGUCCGAACCCACGCACGUUGAAAAGUGCGGGGAUGAGGUGUGGGUAGCGGAGAAAUUCCAAUCGAACUUGGAGAUAGCUGGUUCUCUCCGAAAUAGCUUUAGGGCUAGCCUCGAGGUAAAGAGUCAUGGAGGUAGAGCACUGUUUGGACUAGGGGCCCUUCUCGGGUUACCGAAUUCAGAUAAACUCCGAAUGCCAUGUACUUAUACUCGGGAGUCAGACUGCGAGUGAUAAGAUCCGUAGUCGAAAGGGAAACAGCCCAGACCACCAGUUAAGGUCCCCAAAUAUAUGUUAAGUGGAAAAGGAUGUGGGGUUGCUUAGACAACCAGGAUGUUGGCUUAGAAGCAGCCACCAUUGAAAGAGUGCGUAAUAGCUCACUGGUCGAGUGACCCCGCGCCGAAAAUGUACCGGGGCUAAACAUAUUACCGAAACUGUGGAUGAACCUCUUUAGAGGUUCGUGGUAGGAGAGCGUUCUAAGGGCGGUGAAGUCAGACCGGAAGGACUGGUGGAGCGCUUAGAAGUGAGAAUGCCGGUAUGAGUAGCGAAAGAAGGGUGAGAAUCCCUUCCACCGAAUAUCUAAGGUUUCCUGAGGAAGGCUCGUCCGCUCAGGGUUAGUCGGGACCUAAGCCGAGGCCGAUAGGCGUAGGCGAUGGACAACAGGUAGAGAUUCCUGUACCAGUGCUAAUUGUUUAACCG